AGCAUUCAAGCUCUGUAACGUGCUCUUCAACGAAAAAGAGGAAGAUCUGCAUUUACUGCUUCCAACUACAUCUUCCCAGCAAUUAAAGCCUCCUUCUCCUGCAUUCAAGUCGACUACUCUUUCAAGAGGAGACCAGAAGUUUAAGAAGCCAUUCCUCAUCUCCAAUCUAAAAGCGUUUGAGGCUUCUUAACUUCAUUUAUUGUUCAUAUUGUUUUCAUCUGCUUUUUGAGAAGCUCAUUUUCUGUUUUCUUUCUACAACUUGUAUUUACUUGGUUCAAUCGGGGAUUGAAUCAAGGGGAUUGAGGUUGGUUGGUGAGCUGAGUUAAAACCAGCGUGUGUAAGGGUUCGAUUGUGAUCCCGGAAAAACAAUCGGGGGUGGUUCUAGUCGGUGAGCCUGGGAAAACCGACCGAGUUCGUUGUGAGCUCGUAAAACAACAAGUUUGGUUGUGAGCUUGGAAAACAACCGGCUGUAAUCCAAGGGGAUUAUAGU
Molecule: long non-coding RNA, 490 nt
Filed under: Phoenix dactylifera (date palm)
Lineage: Eukaryota; Viridiplantae; Streptophyta; Magnoliopsida; Arecales; Arecaceae
Description: long non-coding RNA (PDAC_LNC005500)
Source: RNAcentral